Molecule: ribosomal RNA, 548 nt
Filed under: uncultured bacterium
Lineage: Bacteria
Description: bacterial SSU rRNA
Rfam family: Bacterial small subunit ribosomal RNA
Source: RNAcentral
UAGGGAAUCUUCGGCAAUGGGGGCAACCCUGACCGAGCAACGCCGCGUGAGUGAAGAAGGUUUUCGGAUCGUAAAGCUCUGUUGUAAGUCAAGAACGAGUGUGAGAGUGGAAAGUUCACACUGUGACGGUAGCUUACCAGAAAGGGACGGCUAACUACGUGCCAGCAGCCGCGGUAAUACGUAGGUCCCGAGCGUUGUCCGGAUUUAUUGGGCGUAAAGCGAGCGUAGGCGGUUUGAUAAGUCUGAAGUUAAAGGCUGUGGCUCAACCAUAGUUCGCUUUGGAAACUGUCAAACUUGAGUGCAGAAGGGGAGAGUGGAAUUCCAUGUGUAGCGGUGAAAUGCGUAGAUAUAUGGAGGAACACCGGUGGCGAAAGCGGCUCUCUGGUCUGUAACUGACGCUGAGGCUCGAAAGCGUGGGGAGCGAACAGGAUUAGAUACCCUGGUAGUCCACGCCGUAACGAUGAGUGCUAGGUGUUGGAUCCUUUCCGGGAUUCAGUGCCGCAGCUAACGCAUUAAGCACUCCGCCUGGGGAGUACGACCGCAAGGUU